GAUGAACGCUGGCGGCGUGCCUAAUACAUGCAAGUCGAGCGAACAGAUGAGGAGCUUGCUCCUCUGACGUUAGCGGCGGACGGGUGAGUAACACGUGGAUAACCUACCUAUAAGACUGGGAUAACUUCGGGAAACCGGAGCUAAUACCGGAUAAUAUAUUGAACCGCAUGGUUCAAUAGUGAAAGACGGUUUUGCUGUCACUUAUAGAUGGAUCCGCGCCGCAUUAGCUAGUUGGUAAGGUAACGGCUUACCAAGGCAACGAUGCGUAGCCGACCUGAGAGGGUGAUCGGCCACACUGGAACUGAGACACGGUCCAGACUCCUACGGGAGGCAGCAGUAGGGAAUCUUCCGCAAUGGGCGAAAGCUUGACGGAGCAAAGCCGCGUGAGUGAUGAAGGUCUUCGGAUCGUAAAACUCUGUUAUUAGGGAAGAACAAAUGUGUAAGUAACUAUGCACGUCUUGACGGUACCUAAUCAGAAAGCCACGGCUAACUACGUG
Molecule: ribosomal RNA, 497 nt
Filed under: uncultured bacterium
Lineage: Bacteria
Description: partial 16S ribosomal RNA
Rfam family: Bacterial small subunit ribosomal RNA
Source: RNAcentral